This is an RNA transcript of Chenopodium quinoa (quinoa), 4563 nucleotides long. It is a transcript of the gene named putative pentatricopeptide repeat-containing protein At1g12700, mitochondrial, with no coding region annotated. NCBI's taxonomy places the organism in Eukaryota, Viridiplantae, Streptophyta, Magnoliopsida, Caryophyllales, Amaranthaceae. The transcript is spliced from 3 exons. The record is from RefSeq and is a predicted model, not a curated record.
ACAGUCGCAGAGCAUGGAAGAAAAACAUUUCAGUUUAAGACUUUAACAAAGUAGUCGUGGUUGAUGUCUGAGUUUUGUUUAUGGAAUGAUGAACUGACCUAAAUAGAGAUGACCUAUUGUGAUUAUGUAUAUAGCCUGGGAUGACCAAAGUAAUUUCGAAAUCCAUGUUAAUCCAACUUUGGUGCUAGGUGAUACAAGGGGGAAACCAUAUUUUCUACCUGUAAUAUUUCUUCUGCUUCCCUUGAUCACUAUGAAACUUGGAUUCGUAUUUUCAGCAAUGUGGAAUCGCGUGGGUUUUUAUUGCUAUGCUCUAUUCUACAAGUUUUUGUGUUGAUUUGAUGACUUUUGUUGUGUGAGGUGAUUUGAAGUGCAAAGUUAAGACUGUAGUCUUGUUAACGUUUUACAGAAAUCCUUAUAUGUCUUUAAAAUGCCAUAUUCUGGACUUCAGCAAUUACUCCCUUUACAUCCAGGAAAUCAUGGUUAAUAAACAGGAAGGAUACAGACAACUGGAGAGUAGACGCUUAUGUGAAUUUUUUCAUGUUUCUUUUUUCACAACAGGUUCGAUUUUUUCAUGUUUCUUUUUUCAUAACAGGUUCGAUAUGUCAACCGAUAGAACUCGUUUGUUAAUUUAUGGAUGAUCGAAUUACUGAAAUUACGUAGCUUAUCUGACCUGUCUUCAUGUAGCUUAUCUCACUUUUGUUUUUACUCUUUAACUUAUACAGGCAUCACAUAAAGACCAAUGCAGGGAAGGAGUUGAUUUUUAUUGUAUCUCUGCAUUAUGGAUGUACUGUAUUCUGUAUAAGAACGAGUAAUGUUAAUCAUACAAUCAUUAAGUAUUAUUGUGCAUUAUCUUGUUUACGAGUUUAUAAUUAGAGUAGAUCAAUGGGUUGUGUCAAACCAAAUUUGGGCAGAUGUUGUGAUCAAAGUAUUCGUGUUUCAAAACGGCAAGAGUUUUUAAUAGAAAGUUAAUAAAGUUGGUUUAUGACAGUAAGGAAAGCACACGAUCUGAAAAAACACACAUGAUCAUGAAGAUGAUGAGUUGCAGUCUUGCAGAGCUGGUAGUUCCGCCAUCUUUGGUUCCGGUAUUUAUUCUUCUUUUCUCUUGUUUCCCGUUCAAUUUUGAUUUUCAAACCAAUAAAUGUGCAACACAUGACAAACUAUAAAAAUUAAAUAAAAAUAAAAAAUUAAAAAUAACCUUUUCAGCAAGUUGUUGGUUUUUGGGACCGAAGAGAGAGAACGUAUGUGAAAGUUGGGAAUAUUGUAGAAUACUCGAAUUUUGGAAUUAUUUAAGGUAAUUGGACGAACUUGAAAUUAUUAAAAUGAAUUUUUCCUAUAAAUUAAAUUUUAUCACGAAAUACUUUCUAAAUUAAUGAAAAAAAUUGAUGCAUUUGAUUUUUUUAAUGAUAAAUUAGGACUCGUUUAUUUAAUUAAGCCCGAUUCCCGUUCAAAAUUGAACUUAAACUCGAAGUGUAAAUGAAUAUAUUCGUGAACAAAGCUUGAAUAAGACAAAUUCUUAAUGAGUUCAGUUUGAAUAAGAUUUUUAAAAGCUCGUUCAAGCUCGAAAUUGUUUAACCCCGAAUAAUUCUUAUCAAGCUUAGCUCGAACAGAUUAAAACUCGACUCAACACGGAUUGUUUAUAGCUUUACUUGUGUUAAACCAAAUUUGGCCAAAUUUGUGAGUUUUGUGUUUUAAAAAAGCAAUAGUUCUGUAGUGAAAAAAGGAAAAAAAUAAAAUAAAAAAUAAAGCAACAGUGACAGUGUGAGCUGAAUGAACACCAAGAAGGCAAGAAGAUGAUGAGUUGCAGAGUUUGUAAUUCCGCCAUCUUUCAUUCUGGUAUUCCUUCUUCUUUUCUCUUGUUUUCCCCCUUUCAAUUUCAAUUUCGAUUUUAUUCUCGGCAUAAUCGAAUUCAUUAAGUUGUUGAUGACCGUGAAUCGUUUCUUCAAUCAGUUUCUGAACAAUCCAAAUUAGGGUUUUCUGAUCUUAAAUCCCCCCUUUCACUCUUCAAUCGUAUGAUUAAUUUGCGUCCUCUUCCUUCUCUUAUCCAAUUUACUCAGCUUUUUAACGCCAUUUCCAAAUUGAAACGCCUUGAACCUCAUUCCACCAUUAUCUCUCUCUUCCGGAAGAUUGAAUUACUUGGUAUUUCACAUGAUAUGCUUUCUUUAAGUGUUCUUGCUAAUUGCUACUGCCAUUUGGGCAGAGUUGAUUUCGGCUUUUCUCUACUUGGUAAAAUCAUUAAGCUUGGUUAUCCCCUUGAUUGUGUCAUUUUUAACACCUUAAUUAAUGGCUAUAUUCACUCUGAUAAGCUCCCUCAAGCUGCUCAUUUGUUGAAUCAAAUUGUCAAGCUUGGUUUCCAACCCGACUUAAUUAUGUAUAGUACUAUUGUCAAAGGACUUUGUAGGAUUGGCGACAAUACGUCUGCUCUCACUUUGCUUAACAAAAUGCAAUCUCGAUCUCAUUUUAAGCCUAACAUUGUUUUAUACAGCACUAUCAUCGAUAGUCUUUGUAAGGACAGGUUGUUACAACAGGCCCUGGACCUGUUCUCCUCCAUGAAAACUCAGGGCAUUAAACCCGAUGUUGUCACUUUUACUUCCUUGGUUCGAGGCCUCUACAAUUCCGGCUGUGGGGAUGAGGCUCAUCGUAUGUUGACUGAGAUGUUAGAGAGCAACAUUGCACCUAAUGUUAAGACCUACAGCAUGCUGGUUGACAUGUUUUGUAAAGAUGGCUGUGUUGAUCAAGCUCAGUCCAUUCUAAAGCAGAUGAUUGAGAAAGGUGUGACUCCUGACAUGAUUACUUACAGUGCAUUACUUGAUGGUUAUUGUUUGCGCGGUCAGAUGGAAGAUGCAGAGAACCUACUCGUUCUCAUGGCCGAAAAUGGUUGUGAGCCUGACCUUGUCAGUUUCAGCACUAUGAUUAAUGGAUAUUGCAAGGCUAAAAACAUUGACAAGGCCCUUAACAUUUUCCAAGAGAUUUUACAGAAAGGGAUAACACCUAAUGUUGUUACCUAUAACACUCUUAUUGAUGGACUGUGCAAAGCCAAUAGAUUCCCACUUGCACAUAAGCUGUUCAAAGAUAUGCGGGCUCAUGGAAUUGCUCCAGAUGUUGUCACCUAUGCCUCCUUGCUUGACAGCCUUUGCAAAAGUGCAAAGCUUGAUGAGGCAGUGAAAUUGCUUGAAGAAAUGGAGGAUAAUGGUGUUAAGCCAAAUGUUGUCAUCUACAAUAUCCUAAUAGACAACUUGUGUGAGUCUGGAAAACUUGAAGAUGCAGCAAAGUUCUUUUCAGAUCUUGUAACAAAAGGUCUGCAACCUGAUGUUAAAACAUACAAUAUACUGAUCAAAGGCUUCUGCAAGAAAGGGAUGAUGAGUGAAGCUGGUCAAGUGUUGAGGAUAAUGGAGGAAGAUGGUUGCCCCCCUGAUGAUCGAACCUAUAAUACGGUCAUCAGAGGUUAUAUUCUGAGUAAUGACUUAUCUAAUGCAUUAUACUAUCAUGAUAUAAUGGUUGGCAAGGGAUUUCAAGCUGAUGCAGACACUUUCUCAUUAUUUGUUGGCCUCUUGUCAUCUGAAAAUUUAAGUGACUCAAAGAAGGACCUGCUUCAGAUGUUUAUCUGUUAAGUUGCAGUUAAGAUGUAUGCAAAGCUUUUAUAGUGCUCUUCCAAGUGUUGUAUCUAAGGAGUUUGUAUUUUUGUAAAACGAAUGAUGGUAGUACCACACCAAUUUUGUCCUUCAGAAGAACCUGAAGCACUUGUGGAAUAUAUGCCAUGUAGUUCGUCCUCAGACUGAAGCUGUUUGUUAUGUUGGUAAGAAAAAAAGCAUAUUGCAAUCCUUCAAACAUUUAUGUAAAUAAGAGUGCUCUUUCUUAUGGUGCUGCUGGGUUAUAUACUGGAGAAGGGAUGUUGCCUGGCUGUUUAAAUCCUGUUUCUGGGGCUACUUCAUGCAAAAUGGGGGUGAAGAAUGGUGGGCUGGAAAUGUAUAUCAGAAACUGAUUCUUUUGAUAUUAAUGAUGAUGAUGAGGAGCAGUCAGAAUUCGAAGUCAAUGAACUGGUGUCUAGAUCAUCUGGAGAGUCUAUCAGGAGAAUGAGUGAGAAAUCAUUGAAUAAGGAAGUUAAGUUUGGCCGUCAGCAGACAUCCAAGUUACCUAAAGAUGAAAAGAAAAGGGGUGAAGGACUUUUCAAAGCUCGUGAAAUUUCACUUCACUUCAAAGCCUAAGGUUGAUACAUGUGCCUCUGAGAGAGAACAGUUGAUGAAAAUCCAUGAAGAGAAACUUAAGAUGAAGAAAUGGCACUAGGAAGAAGAAGAAUUGGAGAAGCAAUUUGCUGCUGCUCUGAGAUGCUUCUUGACUCAGAUUUAGAUGCUUCUUAUCACCUUAGAUGCAGUAAUCGUAGAAGUAAAACUAUAUCUUAUCUGCAUCCAGACACUUCAGGUUUUCAUUAUUGGCAUGGUAAAUUGGUAAGUAUAUCUAAAGCUAAAUGUAUUUUGUGGAAAAUAGAUCACUUUCGACACCAAUUAAGAUGCUUCUCUUAAACUCUAAAAUGCAGAAAUCUUAGAAGAAAACAAUUAUUUUUCUGUA